GCUCUGCCUCCCUGGACGGCCGCCGGUCCAGGAGCAGCGCACUGCCGGCGCAAGAAGGAGGGGCUGCUGGAGCUCCGCCCUUGAUGGUGAUGGAGGACUCGACAAGCCUGUAAGUGGUGCGGCCCGGGACGAUGCGCACCAUCACUACCUCGAGAGCGACGAUGGCCGCCUUAGGCUACAGUUCUGGACGGGAACGACACGCUGGAAACCGCUGCCGCAUGGAGAAGACAGGAGGUGACGGUGGGCAGCGAUUUGGAUGUUCUGGUGGUGGUCCGCUCGGGCAGAAGGAGAGCCAUGCCGCUUUUGGUAUCCAUGAUGUAAUAAGGAAAAUAUAAAAGGAGAAUAUGAGGGGAGUUCUUUUUGAAGAAGAAGAAGAGACCAUGGUCAUUUUCUGAGGUAAGAAAUUUGUACCAUUAGUUGCAGGUUGGUGUUUCCGAGGUAAGAAAUUUGCCUCAUGUCUCUUCCUAUACGCAUCAAUAAAAUAUCUUGUCUAUUUGCAGCUGCACACAUCUCAAAUUUCCCCCUUUUCAUGUUAGUUUAGUUUUCUCGGUAAGACGUGCAGUCCGCAUUGCUUAUCAAUUCAUAGUGGCUUAGACUGGUUCAUUUCGGUCAAACACAUUUCAGGUGAGACCGUGAGGGCAUGCGGUGAUAUUUUUCGGGUAUGCAGACUGCGAUGGUAUUUCAGCUUAUAUGCUUAUGAGCACUGGUUUCUUGUUUAAUUCUCGCACAUUUGAUUCUAUGCCUCUUUAGUAUUACUGUAAUCUUCCCAUGCAUCUUUCCUACUUGUAUUCAGGUACUGAUGUACAGUUCAGUUUAGUACAUCUAUUGUGUUCACAAUGCUUUGCUAUUUAAUGUUGAGUGCUAUAAAAAAAUCUACAAUGCUACAAUUAUCUGUUAAAAAAGUAUUAUAAUGUUGCAGGAUUCUAUCUUCAAAUAAUUGACAUGAGUUUGAGAGAUUCAGUAUAGUUGGAUUAAGCUGUGUUUUAGUUCUUUAACAUCUGGUCGAGGAGCUAUCUGAACUAAAGUACUGAUGUAAUUGUGUUCUAAGUUGUUGUGCACUAUUUCCUCAAAAUAGUGAGCUUUCCAUUAAUGUGCAUUACCCUACAUAAUUUCUUUUGUUAUGUUUGGCCAUGAACAUGUGAUAUUUGAGUUAAGUUCGGAGGAGAUAUACUUUCUCAUAUAUCUCUUAUGGGAUCCUUCUAUUUUCCAAAAUGUAUGUACUUCAAAUGUUACUGUUGGAGGUGCUCACAUCGUAAGCUCGUUCUCAUAAAUUAUUUUACUUUAUAUAUUUAGUUUGAGCUGAGACGAAAACUAUACAUUCAUAUUUGCUCAACUAAGUUAACCAGUUGUGUGGUGCUUUGCUCAAUAUUUUAGAACUGCUUCCUGUUUUAGAUCCUAUACUGCUGUAGUGUUAUUCUAGCUUCAGUCUGAAAACAGAUUGCACACUUAUAUUCUAAUAAUGUGGGUUGCUGCUUGUUUUUUUUCCUUUGCUAGGUGUGGAAUGCUAUUGUCGCUCUUCCGAAGCUGCUUGUUUAUCUCGUCCUACAGGAACACCAGGCGUGUUAUGAGACAUUGGUCCCAGAAGUGCAAGUUCGUGUAGGUAUACUAAAAUUGGAGUCUGCGGCUCAUCUUACCGAUGGCCUUGAUGGAGCUUUGUUGAUCGUCUUUCUGGAUAUCUAAAUUAAUGCUGAGUGAUGAGCGAUAAGUUUUUGUCCUUGCUGCAAAAAAAAGUGCUGGAAUCUGCAUUUAGGAUUAUUUUUUCCUCCAAAGAUAUAUGAGGCAAUCAAGUUCACUAACUACAGCAGUGGUGGAGGCAUCCAUGUGUUCGAUCUGUUGGCAUUGAGUGUGGCACCUAGGCCCUGGAGAUCAAUGGGUACAAGGAGCAGGUGUUGGUCGUCUCUCAUCUGGUAGUGAGGCACGUGCAACUGGUACCAAGGUAAAGGCCUCAUUCUUCCUCGCUCUGCAUUCAUGUUGGUUUAUCUUUCUGGAUCAUUUUCCUAUCAAUGUUAUUUUGGCAUCACUAAAUUGCUCAGCUAGCAUUUUCGAUGAAGUUCUAAAAGUUCUUUUUACCUUGAGGCUACAAGGAUGUUGAACUCGUUAGCCAGAAUCAUUUGGGUAAGUUGGUGCCUAAGGAUCCCUGUUGAACACAUAAGUAUUCAGACAUAAUUUUAAACAUAAGGCUCGAAAGCCCGACUUUGAAUUAACAAAGCCAUCAACCAUCUAGACAUAAUUAGAGUGAGAACCUAUCAAUUUUUUUGCUUGCUUAUCAUUACCUAUGUCCACUUGAAAUAUUGUGAUAUAUGAAGCUGGUCUUUUGAGUUUAACUUUAUAUGGCCACUUAAUUUACAGUUUUGGUAUUUGUCAUACAUAUUUUCUUUUUAUGCCUGACUGGUGUGGUUGUCUUUUUUGUGAAUUUUCUCAGGGGGUUCCGUCAGAGAGCGAGAUGCAAAGUUCAUCGCCCUCAUAUGGCACCACCUCUGUGGCAAGGUGGAGCAAAUCAAGUGUUAUAAGGCAGAGAAGUUGUAUAAUAUCCUCGCACUAGCUUCUGAGAUGGAACAACGCCUUGUUGGGCUUUGCUUAGCUGAAAGUGAGAUGCCCUAAAUCCUAAAACCUAGGAGCGUGAGUGCCCACAGUUGCAGCUUUGCAAAGAGGUGGAUGAGAAUUCGAAAGGUUUUCUGGUAGGAGCAAAAAAUACAUGAUUGACUUUACCGUGCGCUCUAAAAUGAAUCAUCACAAAAUUUGGAGAAGCUACCAGGGCACUUUCCGUAGACUAAAGUUUUGCACGCACUAAUGGCAUGCAGCGGGCAUAACUGUGGUAGUGAUGGGGAUGACAGGGUGGAUGAGGGGUAGUAGCUGGGUACACUCAUAUGAGGGCUAGGAGGGGCGAGGCCACAGACCGCCAUAACAUUGCAUAGAUGAUAAGCGCCGCAUAUGCCAGGAAACCCAAGUUGUUUGUUCUUUGCCAGCGCCACAUGUGCCAGAACCAAUAAGCCACUUCUGUUUGUUCUUUUCCUGGACCAAAGAUAAUAAAAAGUUAUAUGGGCUGGGCUUUAAAUCACUAAGGAGGCUCCUUUCCUUGCAGUUUAAAAUGUAUGACCAUAAUAAUAGGUACAUGAUGUUUAGAGCAAGACAUCAUUAUCUGAAGCUCAUUUCUGUUUUUAGAUAAUUUGCUUACCUCCUCUAAUUCUAAGAGGUACAUGCUGACCCAGUUUUCUUGUAAUUAUAAGAGGUCCACACUGACUUAGUUUCUGUCAUAUCUAUUCAGUGAAUAGUAGAUUGCGUUGGCUCGUGCAUUGGAAAAAAAACUUACUGAAUUCCUCACACAUAUACUCCCUCCGGUCGGAUUUAAUCGACGCGGAGGGAGACUUGCUCACGCAUGUGAUUAGUGGGUUGCUGCGUCGAUUAAUUCUGUCCAGAGGUAGUACUUAGGAACGCCUUUUCUUUUGUUUGGCCAGCUCAACUGAUGGAGAAACACGAAAUUUACCUGAGUUUAUGGAAAAUCUUCUGAAGAAAUCAAGGAAUACCUACUUCUCUUAGAUCGAGAAAGCAAUUUUAUUUCACCGAACAUGAGUUAGUCUUCUACUCUUACUGUUUUAUUUUAUUUGCCUCACAAUUAACUGUUGUUAAUUUAUCUUUUUAUUUGCAGUGUUGUUAACUUUUAUUAGUGCAAGUACCUAAUAGAACUAUUUUUCUUACGUGCUCAAUGGCGAAGCUAGGAAAAACACAAAGUGGGGGCAAAAAUUGGGUAUAGCUCUAGGAUGGAGUAGCAUAUAAAAAGAUGUACAUAAUUUAUAGGCUGUAACUGAAGUUAACAACAUUAUUUAGACAUCUACAAAAGAGGUGGCAUGCAUGCAAAAUGUGCAAGUUGAUUAACUAACCAGGUUCGCCUGAUGCAAAAAUUCUCUUCAAUUUCCUCCUCUUUCUUAUCUUCUACCAAUACCAAGCCAGGGCAGGAACAAUCGAAUUGUUCUCGACAGAUGCUCCACCAAGCCUAAUUUUUUUCUUAUCAAAAGAAUCAAUAGUCUUCAUCUUAUUUUUAGCUAUGAUUAUCCUAGAGAGAUUUAUCACCAGAAGUUAGAAGAAUGUAUUUUGAUAUACGAAUUUUAUCCUAUAUAGGAAAUGGAGAACCAAUAUUCCAAAAAUGAAGAAACCAGAUCCACAAAUUUAUAUUGCAAAUUAGGAGAUAGGACUGAAAGAUCUUACACCUUGUACAUGUGAAGAAUUAUUGAUGUGCUCCAAAUCGCAGGGAUAGAAAUAGUCAGACGAUUAUUUGGGGUAUUUAAGUCUUGGCCACUUCGUUGCUUCGAGUAGCAAGAAGCCAUAAGAGUAAGAGAGAGAGAGAGAGAGAGAGAGAGAGAGAGAGAGAGAGAGAGAGUUGGGAUGGGGAGUGCAAGCUCGUUUGUGUUGAGAUGUGAAGGAGAAAGAGAGAGUCGGAGAGAAGCUACGUGAAGAAUUAGGACGGAGAGUGACAGCACGUGUCAUACAAUGAAGGAAAGGAGCAAAAGUCCAAAAGACACACUUUUCCAUGGAAUAGGAUCUUCUGUAGGUAGCUUCCGUGUGUUUUAGUUGUGAGGAUGAACACAGAAGAUGAUAUUGUACACCCAGACAUGAAAUCUGGAGGUCUUUCAAAAUUAUAAAUGAUGGGGAGAGGAGAGACCCAAACAUACACAUAAUUUGUCUGUUUUUGUCUAUUUGGGUCAAGUUCUAGACACACAUUUGGCCAUUUUACCUCUUCUAUUUGUGUUGGAUCCUACCUAGCGGGGCUACCCAUUUUUUCAUUGACAACAACUGCAAUGGAGGGGAGAGGUGAGCGACCUGCCGCGUCGGAGGGUGAGCUCGCAAGAGAGGGCGCGCGGCGGAUGUAUGGUGGCCGGAGAGGAGCGCGGCACAUCGAAGGUUGGCGAGCUCCACCGCAGCGACCCAACCUCCGCCGACAGCGUCGUAGGUGAUGCCAUGGACGAGGGCUACCUCGAGGAGCUAACCGACCUCCUCCCGAGCAAUCAUCCUGCCACGGCAUACUUACCCUAAAUCCAGAUGUAUACUCUGACUCGACCACUAUGCAACACGCCACAAGCAAGAGAUUUGUGAGGACAGAAACUACCCAACGGAGUGCGCCGUCGCCGAUCUUUAGAGAGUGGUACACAAAUAGUUUGUAUAGAUAAGGCGGAAUUAUGACCGAUGGCAAACCCUAGGCUUCACUUAGAAAAUCUUAGAUGAUAUACCAUUAGCUAAAAUUGAGUCUGUGGCUCAUUCUUUCUCGGCUGAUAUCUUUAUUGGGUCCUAUAUGCUAUAAACAAGAUCAUUUGUGGGCCCUAUAUGUCAUUUGGGAGUUGUCCUGGAGAGGCAUUUGGAGAAAAAGAGGAAGCAUUACUUCUGUUAGAUGAAACACCGAGGUUCAUGAGCACUUUGUUUUUGUAUUGAACUUGAAUUAACCUUAUAUUCUUGCCAUCUAUUUCGUAACACAAAUAACUUAUGGUUAUUUUUUCAUUUUGUUUGCAGUAGAGCUAGCUCUUGGUGAUGUAGGUUCCGUGCGGCCUUCUUUUGCUCUGCAUGCAGAUAGAAUCCAUCCGAGCUACUUCCCUGGUGACCAAGCUCGGUUUUGCUUUUCAAAGUUCCUGUUGCUUCAGAUGGUGCUCACAUGUUUUAAUAUCAGCAAGUGUUGUGUAACUUUUCUAUGCUUGGAGGACCCUGCUAGCAGUUAGACCUUGGCUAGAUUUCCAUAAAAUGUACACAAGAAUUUCAUCGGCUAUGUUAUAUAACAGGCUUAGAAGAAUAUUAAUAUUAGCUUAACCAGUACCUA
Molecule: long non-coding RNA, 5800 nt
Organism: Lolium rigidum
Lineage: Eukaryota; Viridiplantae; Streptophyta; Magnoliopsida; Poales; Poaceae
Exons: 9
Source: RefSeq, a predicted model, not a curated record